AGGCCGGUUCGGAGCUCGGUGUCCUCGCCUGCAGUCCGAGGCAGAGCUUGAGCGGGAUGCGGUCCUGAGGAUGCUGAGGCAGCACCUUUUGUGGAUGGAGUUUCUUCUGACAUGGAAACAAGAGGAUUAAACAAUACAUUUGAUUUUAAAAUAAGCCAAGCCAUGGACCAUGGAUUGGUGAAGUUCCGAGAUGUGGCCAUAGAUGUCUCUCAGGAAGAGUGGGAAUGCCUGAAUCCUUCGCAGAGGAAUUUGUACAAAGAUGUGAUGUUGGAAAACUAUAGCAACUUGGUUUCACUUGGUAAAGUUAUCUAAGAAUGCAGAUGCUUCUCACAACUGAGAAUCUACUUCUCAGGAUUUGUAUUUUCUCUUCCAUUGAUUUUUUUCUAUGUGCAGAAAUAAGCAUAGCUGGAUGAAAGUUCUGGUCCUUU
Ochotona curzoniae (black-lipped pika) is the source of this 428-nucleotide long non-coding RNA. RefSeq lists it as uncharacterized. The record is from RefSeq and is a predicted model, not a curated record. NCBI's taxonomy places the organism in Eukaryota, Metazoa, Chordata, Mammalia, Lagomorpha, Ochotonidae. The transcript has 3 exons.